Felis catus (domestic cat) is the source of this 647-nucleotide long non-coding RNA. RefSeq lists it as uncharacterized. The record is from RefSeq and is a predicted model, not a curated record. Lineage: Eukaryota; Metazoa; Chordata; Mammalia; Carnivora; Felidae. The transcript is spliced from 3 exons.
UCUUUUUGAACCACAAUAUUAUUAAAAGAUCUAAACUUCUGAAAUAUCUAUUUUCUUCAUGCAAGACUUUAGUCUACAUUGGAGCACCAUGUUUAAUGCAUUCUUCUGAAGUUUCUGCCCAGGCCUGAGGUCCAAAUGCUGCUGGGAUGGAAAGAUAAUAGCUGAUAUUCAAAGUCCUAUUGUGCAAAAUCUAUGGCCGUGCAACCACUUAUCAACAGAAUUUGGAUCAGUAGCCUAGAAUAUUGGCCAAGUCAAAAGUAUGGAAGUCUAGGAGACUCUUCCUCCAGCACUCAUGAGAAAUACUCACAGAUAUUUUAACUGAAAGCAUCAGCCCAGCUGUUACGGUGAAGAAGACCCACACUCCCCAGUCUUUCCAUCACGUCCUCAAUCUCGGAGAUUAUCUAUUAAUGCUGGAGCAAUGUAAAUGAAAGGAAUAUGGGCCUUCAAAGAAGUAGAGGCCAGCAUUGCUGGGAGAUGAGUGGGCUUAGAUGAGCAGGCUUUCCAUGGACCAUGAUGGGUUCACCUGCAAUUCCCUGAUUCAGAGAUGCCUGGAAGAUGCCCAACUGGAGUUCUCCAGGAAGCUGACUUCUUUUAACUUGUUAAUUUUUUUUGAAGUUUAUGUAUUUAUUUUGAGAGAGAGAGAGAGU